CCCUUAGAUGUCCUGGGCUGCACGCGCGCUACACUGAUGUGUCCAGUAAGCACCUAACCUCUUCCGAAAGGAACGGGUAACCUUUGCAAAGCACAUCGUGAUGGGGAUAGAUUAAUGCAAUUAUUAGUCUUGAACGAGGAAUUCCUAGUAAGCACAAGUCAUCAGCUUGUGUUGAUUACGUCCCUGCCCUUUGUACACACCGCCCGUCGCUCCUACCGAUUGAAUGUUCCGGUGAGCUCUUCGGACUGCGCGGUCUGCAGUUUCUGCGUUCCGUGCGGAAAGUUGCGCAAACCUUAACAUUUAGAGGAAGGAGAAGUCGUAACA
RNAcentral lists this ribosomal RNA (324 nucleotides) under uncultured eukaryote. RNAcentral's name for it is "partial 18S ribosomal RNA". It matches the Rfam family "Eukaryotic small subunit ribosomal RNA", at positions 1470 to 1796 of the family's 1831-position model. The record is from RNAcentral.